RNAcentral lists this long non-coding RNA (248 nucleotides) under Lathyrus oleraceus (garden pea). Its description in RNAcentral is "Pisum sativum (pea) long non-coding RNA (PSAT_LNC023328)". The record is from RNAcentral. Lineage: Eukaryota; Viridiplantae; Streptophyta; Magnoliopsida; Fabales; Fabaceae.
AUGAUUUUUAUAGUGUUACAAAUUUUAGUGUAAAAAAAAUUUAUAAUUUUUUUUUAAUAAAAGCUUCAAAUGAAAAUUUGAUUUGAAUAGUUAUUCUUAAAAUGUUAUUUUAGGUAUUUCAUCAUUUUAUCGAAACUUUUUUUGGAUAUCAAAUUUUCAAUAAAUACUUAAUUUUGAAGCUAUUUCAAAUAGCUUUUCAUAAAAAUCAUUUUUAAGAUACAACUUUUUGAAAAAAUUGUGAUUUUGAC